This is a long non-coding RNA of Oncorhynchus keta (chum salmon), 1280 nucleotides long. RefSeq lists it as uncharacterized. NCBI's taxonomy places the organism in Eukaryota, Metazoa, Chordata, Actinopteri, Salmoniformes, Salmonidae. The transcript is spliced from 10 exons. The record is from RefSeq and is a predicted model, not a curated record.
UAGAGGUGUUCUGAAACUAUCAUUCUAGAACAGAGUUAAAACUGAGCUGUUCUAGAGGUGCUCUGAAACUAUCAUUCUAGAACAGAGUUAAAACUGAGCUGUUCUAGAGGUGUUCUGAAACUAUCAUUCUAGAACAGAGUUAAAACAGAGCUGUUCUAGAGGUGUUCUGAAAUGGUCAUUCUAGAACAGAUUUAAAACAGAGCUGUUCUAGAGGUGUUCUGAAACUAUCAUUCUAGAACAGAGUUAAAACAGAGCUGUUCUAGAGGUGUUCUGAAACUAUCAUUCUAGAACAGAGUUAAAACAGAGCUGUUCUAGAGGUGUUCUGAAACUAUCAUUCUAGAACAGAGUUAAAACAGAGCUGUUCUAGAGGUGUUCUGAAACUAUCAUUCUAGAACAGAGUUAAAACAGAGCUGUUCUAGAGGUGUUCUGAAACUAUCAUUCUAGAACAGAGUUAAAACAGAGCUGUUCUAGAGGUGCUCUGAAACUAUCAUUCUAGAACAGAGUUAAAACAGAGCUGUUCUAGAGGUGUUCUGAAACUAUCAUUCUAGAACAGAGUUAAAACAGAGCUGUUCUAGAGGUGUUCUGAAACUAUCAUUCUAGAACAGAGUUAAAACAGAGCUGUUCUAGAGGUGUUCUGAAACUAUCAUUCUAGAACAGAGUUAAAACAGAGCUGUUCUAGAGGUGUUCUGAAACUAUCAUUCUAGAACAGAGUUAAAACAGAGCUGUUCUAGAGGUGUUCUGAAACUAUCAUUCUAGAACAGAGUUAAAACAGAGCUGUUCUAGAGGUGUUCUGAAACUAUCAUUCUAGAACAGAGUUAAAACAGAGCUGUUCUAGAGGUGCUCUGAAACUAUCAUUCUAGAACAGAUUUAAAACAGAGCUGUUCUGAAACUAUCAUUCUAGAACAGAGUUAAAACAGAGCUGUUCUAGAGGUGUUCUGAAACUAUCAUUCUAGAACAGAGUUAAAACAGAGCUGUUCUAGAGGUGUUCUGAAACUAUCAUUCUAGAACAGAGUUAAAACAGAGCUGUUCUAGAGGUGUUCUGAAACUAUCAUUCUAGAACAGAUUUAAAACAGAGCUGUUCUAGAGGUGUUCUGAAACUAUCAUUCUAGAACAGAGUUAAAACAGAGCUGUAGAAGAGACAGUUUGAUCGUUCGUAAGGCACUUCCCUGUACCUUCUAUAUGUCCUGAUUCAGUGCAAACAAGCUUGUCAACAACAAUAUGUACAUAUCAGCAUCAAUAACAACAAUCACUGAUUAUUAUCACGAAACUCCCCAAAGUCA